RNAcentral lists this long non-coding RNA (235 nucleotides) under Elaeis guineensis (African oil palm). RNAcentral's name for it is "long non-coding RNA (EGUI_LNC008035)". The record is from RNAcentral. Lineage: Eukaryota; Viridiplantae; Streptophyta; Magnoliopsida; Arecales; Arecaceae.
CUUGUAGUUGUUGACUUUGUUCGCUUGGUGCGACUGGAUCCCACUCGUUGGUAUAUGCCUAAGAAAUUGGCCACGUAUUAUCCAUUGGGUCCCACCACAUGCAAUCGCAACCAACCACAGCUAGUCGUGUGGCAUCACCACUAACUAGCUAAUUGGAAAGCAGCAACUCGUUCAUCUUCCUGAUGAACUAUAUGAUGAACUAUAUGAAACUUAUAGGAAGGCAUCACCACUAACU